UCCGCGGUAGCUCAAUGGUAGAGCGGCUGACUGUUAAUCAGCGGGUUCCUGGUUCGAAUCCAGGCCGCGGAG
RNAcentral lists this transfer RNA (72 nucleotides) under Candidatus Buchananbacteria bacterium RIFCSPHIGHO2_01_FULL_47_11b. RNAcentral describes it as "tRNA-Asn". It matches the Rfam family "tRNA". Rfam says of the family: Transfer RNA (tRNA) molecules are approximately 80 nucleotides in length. Their secondary structure includes four short double-helical elements and three loops (D, anti-codon, and T loops). Further hydrogen bonds mediate the characteristic L-shaped molecular structure. tRNAs have two regions of fundamental functional importance: the anti-codon, which is responsible for specific mRNA codon recognition, and the 3' end, to which the tRNAs corresponding amino acid is attached (by aminoacyl-tRNA synthetases). tRNAs cope with the degeneracy of the genetic code in two manners: having more than one tRNA (with a specific anti-codon) for a particular amino acid; and 'wobble' base-pairing, i.e. permitting non-standard base-pairing at the 3rd anti-codon position. The record is from RNAcentral. Lineage: Bacteria; Candidatus Buchananiibacteriota.